CUGGUAGCGACACAUCAUCAAAUAUGCAAACCCAACAUAAUAGGCUAGGAAGAAACAGAAAAGAUGGCUUAUUGCUGUUUAUUGGUGUUUGGGGACUGCAGAGAAGACUCAUUGGCCGGAGUUGAAUCCACAGCAAAGGGUUGGCAUCAUCUGGAGGUGACUUCACUCACAUGUCUGCAGAGGACAUGGGGCUUGGCUUCAGGACCUAUAGGAGACCUCCCAGUUACCCUGGGAUUCCAGGUAGCAGAGCACUCUCAGGACAUUCAGAGCUUUGACUUGGUGAUCAAGGGCACCAUAGGUGAGUGACCUGAGUGAACCAGGCAGAUGCUCAUGGCCUUUUUAAACAUAACUUUGGAAGUUACACAGCAUCACUUUCAUGUCAUGUGUCAGUGACAAGUGAGCACUAGUGUCCAGUCUGGUAAGGGUGGGCAUAGACCCCCAUAUCUCAAAGGGAGAAUAGCAAAAAAAUUGCAAACAUCUUUAAAAAGCCACAUGGAUAUUCUAGUUUAAAACUACUCAGGUUUUUUUCUCUCCUGGGCUUCUCACCACAGCUCUGGGGUGAUCUUAGGGCUUAUGUUUCCUCCCCAACUUGGAGGCAGCAGAAAAAGGGACUUUGGUAGUGGUUGUGGCCAAGGGUCUUUUACUUAUGUCCUGUUAGAUCCACCCAAGAGUGAUGCAGGUCAGCAAUCGCCCAGUCUCACUUAUAAGUGGGAGCUAAAUAAUGAGAACCCAUGGACACAAAGGGGAACAGCAGACACUGGGCCUACAUGAGGGUGGAGUAGGAGGAGGGAGAGGACCAGAAAAAAUAAUUAUUGGGUACUAGGCCUAGUACCUGGGUGAUGAAAUAAUCUGUACAACAAACCCCUGUGAUACGAGUUUACCUACAUAACAAACCUG
RNAcentral lists this long non-coding RNA (897 nucleotides) under Homo sapiens (human). RNAcentral describes it as "HSALNT0161738". The record is from RNAcentral. Lineage: Eukaryota; Metazoa; Chordata; Mammalia; Primates; Hominidae.